UACGUAGGGUGCAAGCGUUGUCCGGAAUUAUUGGGCGUAAAGAGCUCGUAGGCGGUCUGUCGCGUCGGCUGUGAAAACUCGGGGCUCAACUCCGAGCUUGCAGUCGAUACGGGCAGGCUAGAGUUUGGCAGGGGAGACUGGAAUUCCUGGUGUAGCGGUGAAAUGCGCAGAUAUCAGGAGGAACACCGGUGGCGAAGGCGGGUCUCUGGGCCGAUACUGACGCUGAGGAGCGAAAGCGUGGGGAGCGAACAGG
Molecule: ribosomal RNA, 253 nt
Filed under: uncultured bacterium
Lineage: Bacteria
Description: partial 16S ribosomal RNA
Rfam family: Bacterial small subunit ribosomal RNA
Source: RNAcentral